GAUGAACGCUGGCGGCGUGCCUAAUACAUGCAAGUCGAGCGAACAGACGAGGAGCUUGCUCCUCUGACGUUAGCGGCGGACGGGUGAGUAACACGUGGAUAACCUACCUAUAAGACUGGGAUAACUUCGGGAAACCGGAGCUAAUACCGGAUAAUAUAUUGAACCGCAUGGUUCAAUAGUGAAAGACGGUUUUGCUGUCACUUAUAGAUGGAUCCGCGCCGCAUUAGCUAGUUGGUAAGGUAACGGCUUACCAAGGCAACGAUGCGUAGCCGACCUGAGAGGGUGAGAGGCAACACUGGAACUGAGACACGGUCCAGACUCCUAGGGGAGGAAGCAGUAGGGAAUGUUCCGAAAUGGGCGAAAGCCUGAAGGAGCAACGCAGCGUGAGUGAUGAAGGUCUUCGGAUCGUAAAACUCUGUUAUUAGGGAAGAAAAAAUGUGUAAGUAACUAUGCACGUCUUGACGGUACCUAAUCAGAAAGCCACGGCUAGCUACGUG
This 497-nucleotide ribosomal RNA is filed under the name uncultured bacterium. RNAcentral describes it as "partial 16S ribosomal RNA". It matches the Rfam family "Bacterial small subunit ribosomal RNA", at positions 28 to 507 of the family's 1533-position model. The record is from RNAcentral.